CCCAAGACCAGAAGUCUUCGGCCGAAAUUCGGGGUGCAUUUCGGUAGCACGCGGUGAUGCACAGAAAAAAGUUUGGUCCCGAUUUCAGUUCAGACAGUUUUCGGACAGUUUUUCGUGCCGUGUGGUUCACCCUUGAGAAGUAAGCUUGAACAUUGAGCUUGUUUCAAGUGCACAUGAUAGGUGCUGUAAGACAUUUGACUUCACACGCGUUCGUGAGAUGUGUAGAUCCCUUGUGGUGCUCUCCAUGGAAGUGCAUUGAAAUGUGAUGAGGAUUUGCUGCAAAAAAUUGGAAUGUUCUAGUAACAGUGUGUUCACACAACUGACAUCUCCAUGGGAUAUUCAAAUGGAAGAAAUGGCGAACUGCUACUUGAUGGAAGCUACGCCGAGUCUUGCGUUGAGCAGUCACACAUCAAAAUAUCGAGAGUGGUGUAUUCUGCGCAUAGCAGAUACCGUCAGCCCAGUCGUAUAAUACAAGAUACCUCAAACUGAGCCGCAGGUAAGGUUUCGCUGUACUCCACCCUAACCGUCAUGAAGGUCAAGGGCUAACUGUGUAAUGUAAUUGUAGUUAUUAUUCAGAAUACAGGGGUGGAAGUGCUGCACCAUUCUGCGCCCCGCUGCUUUUCAUGCGCCAACUUGAGCCGCAACAUCAAAGUUGCGCCAAAUUACCCCUGAUGUCCGUACCACUCUGGUAACACUGCCAAAAGGGAGCCAUGAGCAUCCAUAUCCGCCCCACGAUCAACCCGUCCACGAAGCCAUCUUCAUAUCCAACAAAAUCCAAAGCCAGCCAAUCCGAGAGAAUUUGGUUUAUUCUCAGGUCGGUUAGGCCGCCCGUAGGCUUAUUUCUGAUGGGGAGCGCGGCAGCAGCACUUACCGCUUUUGCGGUUCUUUUUGCCUUUGUCGUCUUUCAGGUGGUGCCGGCAUACUGUGCAACGAAUCACGGGACGAGGAUCCAUGUACAUUUGAGAAAGAAACACAAAAUUCAACGAUGACAUCUUCAAACGGAACGACUAAAAUAGUAACCUCAUUUCGUUGUGGUGCCAACCUAGUGUAAAAUAAACCGAUGCUUACUGCACUUUAUGCAGCGUGGCCAUAUCGUGCACGCUCGUGGUUCGGCUGUCACGCGUCAUGCAGCAUCAAAGAAACACAGACACGAGAGUGGGGUUCUUCAAGUGCCGAAGCAAGGACCUGAACGCUUUUGAGGCCAGAGCUAACGCACAGGAAAGUAUACGUUAAAAGUAGACACUAUUUUCGUACUUUAGGUGAUUGCGAACUCCGCUCCUUACACGUGAGGAGAUGUCGCAACUGAGAUUUUCCCGACCAUGUUUCCCCAUUCAGUGCGGAAGGAAGAAACUUUCGUACAUUGUUUCCCAAACUACUACAAAGCAUACAAAGAAAGCCUGGAACGAGAAGAAAGAGAAACAGAACAGAGAACGCGAACUGCUGAGGCUGCCCAAAAUGUCCAUUGAAUGUCCAGUCACUGGUCAGCCAAGGUGGCAAGUCAGGUGGUGAUGGUGGAGAGAGCAAGCGUUCUACUGAAGGACGCAAACGCAAAACUUCCAAAGUUUCUCCAGCGCAUUCAAGAGACUGAGAAUAACCCGCGGAACAAGAAAAGGGGGGGAUCAGACGAAUGUUAUACUCUCAGCGCUGGACGAGGAACAUUAAACUAUGGAUAACUGUACCAAUGUAAGAAGGGAGUUGCCUCAGGACAGAAGCCGCCGAUAUUUCGAACAGAGACUGUUCUUCUUCUGGGCGCCCAGAGGAAGAACAGUCUGUGUUUGAAAUAUCGGCGGCUUCUGUCCUGAGGCAACUCCCUUCCUCCAUCUCUACCGGUUCGCUGGAUUUCUACCCAUCUAUGUACCAAUGUAAGCACUGCACAUGGCACUCCUCAGGCAACACUGAAAGUACAACGUUUGUGUGAUUGUGUAUGUGUAUUGCAUUCAGGCAGUGCUGGAAUUUUAUUCUGUACUAGUUUUCACCAGGUGUGUGGGCACGUUUCAAUUAAUCAAGCCAGCUGGUCAACAAACUAGGUACUAGUUCUCACCAGUGUCUCUGUCAAACACACUGUCUCUUCUAUCGAUCACCAGUGUGUGUGUACACUUUAAAUAGUCAUGCUAGCUAGUCUAAAAUUUUGUACAUUGAUAUUUUUAUGUUUACAUUAACAAAACUGUUAGGUUCUCAUGAUUCAUGGUAUAUCUGGUAGUAUAUGACAAUGUGCGGAUCUCAAAUCUUCAAGGAACCAAUCUGCGUACCAUACGUUUCUGCUCCAAAUUAUGGCAUAUGUGCUCCAAAAUGUCAUUUUUACUGCUCCAUAUCUGCUCCAGAAGCAGAUUUUUGCUGCUUCAAUUGUAGCUCCAAAAGUCCUGACACCACUUCCACCCCUGAGAAUACCAUCAUGAGGCUUUCAUUGGUCAUGCAGUUUUUUUCCUUCACAGAUAUGGAACUGCUUAUGAAACAUAGUACGAUAGACACAGCACUGAAGCCCCAUUUACAUAUGUCAAUUAAACAAUGGCAGUUCAUGUUAGUGCCACUGCUAGUGCCUUUUCUUCAAUCGCCAUUCUGUAGUGAUUAUGAAAAUGUUGGUUCCUGUUGAUCAAUAUAUUUCUCAAUUUUCCCACACCAAUUGUCCCACCAGGUUUAUAUGGUGUGCUUAAACUUGGGUUUAAUGCAAGUGAAGUCCUAGAAGCUUUGUUAUUUUCCAUUUUUCGUUGUAUAAAGAAUAUUAUGAGGCAGUGCAAAGCAAUGCAAACAGCAUUUGGUAGUGCUAUGUGCUCUUGUUAAAGACGUUAAACUAUGCAUAGUUCUGCAUUUGUACAUAUCAAAUAAUAUUCUACCGCAAGUAAGUAAGGUAUAUAAUACUGUAAGUACAGUCAGCUGUUGUGGCUGACUCUACACCAGUUGUUUAGUUGUGUGGUGGGUCCAUUAUGUAUCCGUGGACAUUGCAUUGUGAACAUGAACAGUACAUUAAUGAACAGUAAUUUGUUUCGCUGUAUACUUGACAUAUUCUGAUAUUACACUCAGUGUUUAUAAAUGCACAAGAUAUGUGGCUACCACAUUCAGUAAGGCAGGGUAAAGCUGUGCACAUGCAACUGGGGUAGCAGAAUUGUGGUUAAGCGGUCUGGGAGAAACUACACUGUGUUGUCAUCAUGAAGCUCUUUCCUACGUAUGUCCUGUAGUAUCCCGAGUAGCACACCCGACCGGACCGAUACCGGCGGAGGGUUUGGGAUCCACCGGGGUACGGCACUGGGGAGUCAUCCAUUUUGCAACAUCGCACCAGUGCUGGCCCGGUACUGGCCAUGGGUACCCAUGCCCCACAGUUCCCCGACGUGAUUUUGAUGCAGAUAGCUCGCGCACUCUGCCGCUCGGGAUACUAGGUUUUUUUGGGUGAUUGGGUGAUGAUUUUGGGUAACUAGAGUCACCACAUUAAGAAAUAAAUACAUCCAAGGCCUUUAGAAAUGCUUGGAACAGUUUAUUCCGGUACUUUUACAAAUAUUUGCUUCUUUAAAAAAUAAAAAGCAGAUGUUC
Ornithodoros turicata is the source of this 3522-nucleotide long non-coding RNA. RefSeq lists it as uncharacterized. Lineage: Eukaryota; Metazoa; Arthropoda; Arachnida; Ixodida; Argasidae. The transcript has 2 exons. The record is from RefSeq and is a predicted model, not a curated record.